Long non-coding RNA from Zophobas morio, 952 nucleotides. RefSeq lists it as uncharacterized. The record is from RefSeq and is a predicted model, not a curated record. Lineage: Eukaryota; Metazoa; Arthropoda; Insecta; Coleoptera; Tenebrionidae. The transcript has 3 exons.
CUCUUAACUGCACACAAUGAUUGAUUUGUGAAGGUAUGUAGUCGUAUACAAAAAGUCUAAAUAUAUCUAUAGAGCAAAUCAUACUACAGUGGUACAGACUACAUAAAAAUAGAAACAAGUAUGUGCCAGCUAUGCAAGUAUUGUAAUCCUUCUGGUGAAAGGCUACUUUCAUGUAUGUCAAGAUUUCAUGACUCUAAGGUAUCAUCUGUCAUCUGUUGGAAUUUUAUCAAAGAGAUCAUCCCUGAAAUUUUAGGAAUACAACACAACUUACCGCUAGCACCACUUGACAUGAUACCAACACAAGUAUCGCAGUGUGUCGACUGCUUUUUUAUAUCAACUGUACAAGGAUAAGCAGCCAUUCACCUUCGCAUGUUUUUAUUAAUAAUUGUACUUUGUAGAAAAAUAUUAAGAAUCAGAAAAAUAUAUUUUUGUUUACUUAAUUUUUUUUAUAAAACUAACAACGAUUACUAGACUCCUUUAACAGUUUUCUAAAAAAUUGCACCCCCAUUUAAAAAAUAAACAUUGAUAAAAAUUAAACUUUCCACCAUUUUUAGCGUUAGAGAGUUGAUAAAUGAGUGUUGCCCUAGUUUGUCUUUAUAACGUUCGGAUAUUUAACAACAACAACUAAUUUGCAAAAUCUAAUAUCUUUCUUUUAAAUGUAUGAACAUAUUGUUACGUUUUACAGGUGAUUAAAAUCGGCGUGGGUUAAAUUCAACAAUUUAUUUCUUAAUAACUCGAAUUUACACGACUCAUUACACAGCGAUUAUGUACAAAAUAAUUCCAGCGCAAUUUGGCUAAACUCUGUCUUCACUGAACCAACUCGACUGAAUCCAUCUCUCGUUAUUUGCAGUAUACUAACUGUUCCCGACGGCUUAUUCUCGAACACCCGUCGCGACAUCCGCUUCCAGGCUCUUCUCCGGACGCCGUCAUGGACAAUGAGUCAUCGUCGCCG